RNAcentral lists this ribosomal RNA (416 nucleotides) under Bacillus sp. oral taxon B77. RNAcentral's name for it is "bacterial SSU rRNA". It matches the Rfam family "Bacterial small subunit ribosomal RNA", at positions 28 to 422 of the family's 1533-position model. Lineage: Bacteria; Bacillati; Bacillota; Bacilli; Caryophanales; Bacillaceae. The record is from RNAcentral.
GACGAACGCUGGCGGCGUGCCUAAUACAUGCAAGUCGAGCGCAGGAAGUCAUCCGAACCCUUCGGGGGGACGUUGACGGAAUGAGCGGCGGACGGGUGAGUAACACGUAAAGAACCUGCCCUCAGGUCUGGGAUAACCACGAGAAAUCGGGGCUAAUACCGGAUGGGUCAUCGGACCGCAUGGUCCGAGGGUGAAAGGCGCUUCGGCGUCGCCUGGGGAUGGCUUUGCGGUGCAUUAGCUAGUUGGUGGGGUAAUGGCCCACCAAGGCGACGAUGCAUAGCCGACCUGAGAGGGUGAUCGGCCACACUGGGACUGAGACACGGCCCAGACUCCUACGGGAGGCAGCAGUAGGGAAUCUUCCACAAUGGACGAAAGUCUGAUGGAGCAACGCCGCGUGAACGAUGAAGGCCCUCGGG